UAAUACCGAGGGUGCACGCGUGAGCCGCACUUACUGCGCGUUUAGCGCACGCACGCCGUUGAUUAAGUUAGUCGUGAAUUCCCCGGGCUUACCCUGGGAAUGGCCUCUAAGACUGGUCGGCUACAGUCUUGCUGAGGGGGGUAGAAUUCCAUGUGUAGCGCUGAUAUGCCUAGAGAUGGGGAGGAAUACCGGUGGCGAACGCGGCCCCCUGGACAAAGACUGACCCUCAGGUGCGAAUGCGUGGGGAGCGAACGGGAUUAGAUACCCUGGUAGUCCACGCUGUAUCCGAUCUCGAUUUGAUGGUUGUUCCCUGGAGGAGUGGCUUUCCCAGCUAACGCGGUAGAUCGACCGCCUGGCGAGUACGGCCGCGAGGUUAGAACUCAAAUGAAUUGACGGGGGCCCGCACGAGCGGCGGCGCAUGUGGUGUAGUUCGAUGCUACGCGAAGAACCUUACCUACUCUUGACAUCCGGAGUGCUUACCUCAGAUGCUUUGGUGCCUUCGGGUACUCUGACGACAGCUGCUGCGAUGGCCGUCGUCAGCUCGUGUGCUGACACUGUUGCGUUAGAGUCCCGCAUCGAGCCCCACCCUUAUCCU
This 595-nucleotide ribosomal RNA is filed under the name Providencia sp. B14. Its description in RNAcentral is "bacterial SSU rRNA". It matches the Rfam family "Bacterial small subunit ribosomal RNA", at positions 521 to 1111 of the family's 1533-position model. Lineage: Bacteria; Pseudomonadati; Pseudomonadota; Gammaproteobacteria; Enterobacterales; Morganellaceae. The record is from RNAcentral.